This 290-nucleotide ribosomal RNA is filed under the name uncultured bacterium. RNAcentral describes it as "partial 16S ribosomal RNA". It matches the Rfam family "Bacterial small subunit ribosomal RNA", at positions 773 to 1060 of the family's 1533-position model. The record is from RNAcentral.
GUGGAUUAGAUACCCCGGUAGUCCACGCUGUAAACGAUGAGUGCUAGACGGUGGAGGUAUUGACCCCUUCGCUGUCGCAGUUAACGCGUUAAGCACUCCGCCUGGGGAGUACGGUCGCAAGACUAAAACUCAAAGGAAUUGACGGGGGCCCGCACAAGCGGUGGAGCAUGUGGUUUAAUUCGACGCAACGCGCAAAACCUUACCUGGGUUAAAUCCGCCGGAACCUGGCUGAAAGGCUGGGGUGCCCUUCGGGGAAUCGGUGAGAAGGUGCUGCACGGCCGUCGACAACU